Molecule: long non-coding RNA, 943 nt
Filed under: Dermacentor andersoni
Lineage: Eukaryota; Metazoa; Arthropoda; Arachnida; Ixodida; Ixodidae
Description: uncharacterized LOC126524335
Source: RNAcentral
UUGCUCAGCAUAUUUGUCUUGCUGCAGCAGUGUUACCCCUUAGUGGAUAUGGUUUUCACUGGACGUGUGCAUAUCGGGCUGUAAAUAUACAACAUACACACAUGUGAGUUAGCAUUGUAAUCUUUUUCCAAUAGAGGUGCCUGAAGCACUUCAUUGACAUAUUUCUACACUUUUGUUUCGAAGGCCAUUUCUAUGGUUUUUCCUACUUUCCUGAAGAAGCAUUUUCUUGAUACAUAACCAAUACAGUAGUACAAAAGCAAGUAACGAUGCACAUACUGCUCUUCCGCCUUGUUGCUUGCACAUUGUCACUGCUGUUACAGAAAAUUUUGUUUUUGCAGCUCAAUAUGUGCCUAACUUGUCAUGCAGGUCUUCACCCAUUUUUGCCUGCUAGCACAGAGGAGCAGCCAUUAGAAGGUGAUUCUUCAUCAAGCCACUUUGUCGAGACCCACAAAAAAAGGAUCUUCAACUACCGUCUCAGCAGAGCCCGUUGGGUCAUAGAGAAUGCCUUUGGCAUAAUGGCACAGAGGUGGCGCAUCCUGCGCCGCCCGUUCAAAGCUUAGGACGAGAAUGUGAGAAGGAUUAUCUCUGCUUGUGUAGUCCUGUACAACUUCCUGCUCAAGGAGUCCCCCACUUCCCGAUCUGCAUACUGCCCUCCUGGAACAGCUGACUAUGUAGACUGGCAGGGAAACAUCAGUGAAGGGAGCUGGAGGGCCGAGGACAGCAGCAACAAUGCACUGCCACCUCUGCGUAGCACAGGCUGUCACUCAACCAGAGCUGCCUACAAAAUGCGGGACGACCUUGCCAAGUACUUCGUCACUGAUGGCCAGAUCCCUUGGCAAGAGUCCAUGAUCAUGGACAGAACACUGUACAGUGGUGUCACGCAACGUGGCGACGAUCCUGCUCCGGAAAGCUCGUCCAGGGAACUUGCAUCGUAAAUGGGAUC